AGACCUUGAUGACGACACUUUCUUAGUAGCUCCUUGAACCUUUCCCAAGUUUCAUAUAAGGAUUCCCCAUCCUCUUGUAAAUAUGUAUUAAUUUCAACCAUUAAUUU
Non-coding RNA from Helianthus annuus (common sunflower), 107 nucleotides. Lineage: Eukaryota; Viridiplantae; Streptophyta; Magnoliopsida; Asterales; Asteraceae. The record is from Rfam.